GAUGAACGCUGGCGGCGUGCCUAAUACAUGCAAGUCGAGCGAACGGACGAGGAGCUUGCUUCUCUGACGUUAGCGGCGGACGGGUGAGUAACACGUGGAUAACCUACCUAUAAGACUGGGAUAACUUCGGGAAACCGGAGCUAAUACCGGAUGAUAUCUUGAACCGCAUGGUUCAAUAGUGAAAGACGGUUUUGCUGUCACUUAUAGAUGGAUCCGCGCUGCAUUAGCUAGUUGGUAAGGUAACAGCUUACCAAGGCAACGAUGCGUAGCCGACCUGAGAGGGUGAUCGGCCACACUGGAACUGAGACACGGUCCAGACUCCUACGGGAGGCAGCAGUAGGGAAUCUUCCGCAAUGGGCGAAAGCCUGACGGAGCAACGCCGCGUGAGUGAUGAAGGUCUUCGGAUCGUAAAACUCUGUUAUUAGGGAAGAACAAAUGUGUAAGUAACUGUGCACAUCUUGACGGUACCUAAUCAGAAAGCCACGGCUAACUACGUG
RNAcentral lists this ribosomal RNA (497 nucleotides) under uncultured bacterium. RNAcentral's name for it is "partial 16S ribosomal RNA". It matches the Rfam family "Bacterial small subunit ribosomal RNA", at positions 28 to 507 of the family's 1533-position model. The record is from RNAcentral.